Molecule: long non-coding RNA, 1147 nt
Filed under: Helianthus annuus (common sunflower)
Lineage: Eukaryota; Viridiplantae; Streptophyta; Magnoliopsida; Asterales; Asteraceae
Description: hypothetical non coding rna
Source: RNAcentral
GUUUCAAAUCCCAACCCUAACUUACGAACUACCACUUUUUCCUCUUAUCUUGCUACUGCCGACGAAGAACAAGACCACCCAUGGCUUCCGGUGUUCGGUUCAAGGCUCUUUUAUGGUCCCCUCCAUCGCUAGGUCGCUAAGGUACUUGCCACGGUUAGGUGCACUGCGUGAUGUCAAAAACCUUUUCGUCUCGUAACAUUGCAUUUAUUACAUUUAUUUUUUGUUGGAUAGGGCAUUUGUUUUGACGUACGUUUUUACCUUACAUUUAUUACUCUUCCGCAUUACUUUUAAACUGUUGACUUUGGUAAAACUAUUUUUCUCAUGUAAAGGUCAUUCGAUAUGACUGGUGUCUAGAUCCUGGUUUGUCACACGCCUCGCAGUAAAACUCCGCAAGUGGAAUCUGAGGGUGUGACAACAUCACUAUGGGGAGAUCCAUCAAUAAAAGUUGUUGUCGAGGGAAUUCCUAUAUGGUAGAAGGUACUCGAAGAAAUGGUUGUAGGUAGUCUCAUUUACAAUAGAUUACCAACAUACAUUACCGCGGGAUCACCAAAAAGUACUUUACUAAUGAUACACUAACAACUACUGUAAACAAAUUCUUGUAUUUGAUGGUUACUUUAGCGACAUAAGACCAAAAGAUCAUUUAUUGGAUGAUUAUCGACCGGUUUCUUUAAGUUGUACCGAGAGAACUCACCCGAUAAUAUAUGUUCUGUUGCUGAUGAUGAAAGCAAAAACACAAGGGAACCAUCAUCCCUGCCUAAUGAAAUAAGUUAAAGUAUAGUCACAAGUCCAAUAGUUUUUCUCCCCUUGAAAGCUUCUUAAAACAGAUGCCCCAACUACUGUCACAUCAAACUACUGCCUUCAAAGAAUCAGAGUUUAGAAGAACAAGUAUUGAUUGUCAAAGUGAAAGUUAACAAGUCAACAGUCAAAGUCAAUCAAAGUCAAAGGCAGAAGACUAGAAGACCAAGUCAACAAGUCAAAGACAUAAGUUCUCAAUUUCCAGAAAUGUUGGCUCUCAACCAGUAAUUCUGUGAAAUCCAGCAGUUCAUAAUAAACUUACAAAAGGAGCAACCAUUCAAUGCAACAAUGUAACUAUCCAGCAAUUAUUUCUAGCAGUUACAUCAUUUAAUGAAGUUCUUAAGGGUCGCUU